UACAGAGGUCUCAAGCGUUGUUCGGAUUCAUUGGGCGUAAAGGGUGCGUAGGUGGCGCCAUAAGUCAGGUGUAAAAUCUCGGGGCUUAACUCCGAAACUGCAUUUGAUACUGUGGUGCUUGAGGACUGGAGAGGAGACUGGAAUUCACGGUGUAGCAGUGAAAUGCGUAGAUAUCGUGAGGAAGACCAGUGGCGAAGGCGGGUCUCUGGACAGUUCCUGACACUGAGGCACGAAGGCCAGGGGAGCAAACGGG
RNAcentral lists this ribosomal RNA (253 nucleotides) under uncultured bacterium. RNAcentral describes it as "partial 16S ribosomal RNA". It matches the Rfam family "Bacterial small subunit ribosomal RNA", at positions 524 to 776 of the family's 1533-position model. The record is from RNAcentral.